AUUAAGCUUUAUUCUAGCUUAAAUUAUUAAAUAUUAAAUUAUUUAUACAUGUAAUUUUAUAAAUUAAUUUUUUUGUUCUAAAAGAACAAAUUUAAAAUACGCAGUAUAUAAUAUUAACAUUUAUUAAAAUUAGAUUUAGUUAUUUUAGUAUGAAAGGACAAAUUUUGUGCCAGCAGUCGCGGUUAUACAAUUUUUUCAAUUUAAUAUGUAAGUUUCAGUUAAUUGAUUAUUUUUAAUAAUUUAUAUCAAUUUUGGUGAAAUAAUAUUUAUUAAUAUAAAUAAUUUAAAUGUGUCUGAGAAACUAUAAAUUAAACUAGGAUUAGAUACCCUAUUAUUAUAAGCGUAAAUUAAAUUAACUUGAUUAUUAAUAGAUAUAAUCUUAAAAAUUAAAGAAUUUGGCGGUAAUAUAUCUUUUCAGAGGAACCUGUUUUGUAAUUGAUAAUCCACAAUAGAUUCUACUUUAAUAAAGCUUGUAUAUCGCUGUCAAGAAUGUUCUUUUAGGAUAUUUUCUAUAUUUAUAUAAAAUAAAUGUCAGGUCAAGGUGCAGUUUAAUUUUAAAGAAAGAAUGGGUUACAAAUUAAAAUAUAAUUUAAGUUUUUCCAAUGUUGUGAAAAAUUAAUAAAUUGGAUUUGAUAAUAAAUUAAUUAAAUUCAAUUAAUUGAAAUAAGCUCUAUAUUAUGUACACAUCGCCCGUCACUCUCAUUUUAAGAUGAGAUAAGUCGUAACAAAGUAGUUGUACCGGAAGGUGUAUCUAGAAGGAA
RNAcentral lists this non-coding RNA (761 nucleotides) under Tanna japonensis. The record is from RNAcentral. Lineage: Eukaryota; Metazoa; Arthropoda; Insecta; Hemiptera; Cicadidae.